GUGAAUGUAGUUUAAUGGUAAAACAUCUGCCUAGGGAAUAGAUAAUAUGAGUUCAAAUCUCAUCAUUCACU
RNAcentral lists this transfer RNA (71 nucleotides) under Caudoviricetes sp. Its description in RNAcentral is "tRNA-Pro". It matches the Rfam family "tRNA". From Rfam's summary of the family: Transfer RNA (tRNA) molecules are approximately 80 nucleotides in length. Their secondary structure includes four short double-helical elements and three loops (D, anti-codon, and T loops). The record is from RNAcentral. Lineage: Duplodnaviria; Heunggongvirae; Uroviricota; Caudoviricetes.